This is a long non-coding RNA of Anolis carolinensis (green anole), 979 nucleotides long. RefSeq lists it as uncharacterized. The transcript has 2 exons. NCBI's taxonomy places the organism in Eukaryota, Metazoa, Chordata, Lepidosauria, Squamata, Anolidae. The record is from RefSeq and is a predicted model, not a curated record.
GUGAAGAUUUUUUUGCUUGUGUCCCAAAGGGAGUUGUGUUUCGUCCCGCCCGGCAGGGCUGCCUUUUAAAGGAAGGAAGAAAAGGAAGAGAAAGGAGGAGGGAAGAAAAAGAGAGAUCGGGACUCAUCAGGAAACAGCUCAAGGUUUCCACCCGGUGGCGGCACAGGAUAUUGCAGGAGUCCCAUUCAGGUUUAUCUGAAUUGAUUAAAGAGGAUGAUGAUGAGGAUGAGGAUGAUGAUGAGGAGGAUGGCCAAUCAGAAGGAUACGAUGAUAAGAAGAAGAAAAAAGAGAAUAUUUAUUUAUUGAUUCAUUGGUUGAGCAUCAGCCGGGAAACAGAAAUCCCCGCAAAUCGGUCGGGAUCCAUCACCACCCGCGGUACCUAUUUACCUACUCGCCUUCCCGCUUUUGGCCUACUGGGUGGGCGGGGGGAGCUGGGGCUGGCGGGGGGAGCUCGCCCCGACCCGGGAUCCAGAGAGGGGUCGUUUUUUGCAUAGAUCAAGGCCUUCCUUCCUUCCUUCCUUCCUUCCUUCCCUCCCUCGUCCGCUCCAAACAUCUUUGGCACCGAGUUCCAAACGUAUCACGAAAAAUAGUCCCUUGGACCCCCACCCGCCGGCUCCCCAAAACAGGUACGUGAUGGGAUUUGGAGUCCGUCCAUGCUCAGUUCCCACCGGCGACGAAUCACGACCCAAAUGUGGCAAACACACCCGUCAGGACACACGAGAUGGGCUUCAGGGGGCGGAGCACGGUGGCAGUUGGACUCCGCCCUGAUGCAAACAGCCUUGAGACUCCUGCCGAUCGCCGGAUUUGACCCAAAGUUGGCACACAGACCCGCCAGGACCAGUUGUAAGUAGAGUCUGUGCCUGUUGAAGAGGACGAUGGGAGUCGCAGUCGCCCUGGAUGAUGGGAGUCGCAGUCCGCCCCCACCCACAGGGCCCCAAAAGGGAUGGAUUUGAACCAAAUAAAUGCCUUUAAGGACUUG